GGCGGCGUGCUUAACACAUGCAAGUCGAACGCGAAAGGGACUUCGGUCCUGAGUAAAGUGGCGCACGGGUGAGUAACGCGUAGAUAACCUGUCUUCAUGUCUGGAAUAAUACGCCGAAAGGGGUACUAAUACCGGAUAUUCUUGCUUUUCAUAAGUUAUGCAAGCAAAGGUGGCCUCUGCAUAUGCUACUGCAUGAAGAGGGGUCUGCGUACCAUUAGCUAGUAGGUGGGGUAAUGGCCUACCUAGGCGACGAUGGUUAGCGGGUCUGAGAGGAUGAUCCGCCACACUGGCACUGGAACACGGGCCAGACUCCUACGGGAGGCAGCAGUGAGGAAUAUUGCGCAAUGGGGGAAACCCUGACGCAGCGACGCCGCGUGAGUGAAGGAAGGCCUUCGGGUCGUAAAGCUCUGUCAAGAGGAAAGAAGUGUACAAUGGCUAAUACCUGUUGUAUUUGACGGUACCUCUAAAGGAAGCACCGGCUAACUCCGUGCCAGCAGCCGC
RNAcentral lists this ribosomal RNA (501 nucleotides) under uncultured bacterium. RNAcentral describes it as "bacterial SSU rRNA". It matches the Rfam family "Bacterial small subunit ribosomal RNA", at positions 38 to 518 of the family's 1533-position model. The record is from RNAcentral.